GAUGAACGCUGGCGGCGUGCCUAAUACAUGCAAGUCGAGCGAACAGACGAGGAGCUUGCUCCUCUGACGUUAGCGGCGGACGGGUGAGUAACACGUGGAUAACCUACCUAUAAGACUGGGAUAACUUCGGGAAACCGGAGCUAAUACCGGAUAAUAUAUUGAACCGCAUGGUUCAAUAGUGAAAGACGGUUUUGCUGUCACUUAUAGAUGGAUCCGCGCCGCAUUAGCUAGUUGGUAAGGUAACGGCUUACCAAGGCAACGAUGCGUAGCCGACCUGAGAGGGUGAGCGGCAACACUGGAACUGAGACACGGUCCAGACUCCUACGGGAGGCAGCAGUAGGGAAUCUUACGCAAUGGGCGAAAGCCUGACGGAGCAACGCCGCGUGAGUGAUGAAGGUCUUCGGAUCGUAAAACUCUGUUAUUAGGGAAGAACAAAUGUGUAAGUAACUAUGCACGUCUUGACGGUACCUAAUCAGAAAGCCACGGCUAACUACGUG
RNAcentral lists this ribosomal RNA (497 nucleotides) under uncultured bacterium. RNAcentral's name for it is "partial 16S ribosomal RNA". It matches the Rfam family "Bacterial small subunit ribosomal RNA", at positions 28 to 507 of the family's 1533-position model. The record is from RNAcentral.